RNAcentral lists this transfer RNA (73 nucleotides) under Felis catus (domestic cat). It matches the Rfam family "tRNA". From Rfam's summary of the family: Transfer RNA (tRNA) molecules are approximately 80 nucleotides in length. Their secondary structure includes four short double-helical elements and three loops (D, anti-codon, and T loops). Lineage: Eukaryota; Metazoa; Chordata; Mammalia; Carnivora; Felidae. RNAcentral also lists the same sequence under 1 other name. The record is from Rfam by way of RNAcentral.
ACCUGGCUGGCUUAGUUGGUAAAGCAUGUGACUCUUGAUCUCUGGGUCGGGAGUUCAAACCCCACGUUGGGCA